ACCUACCCAUAACAGGGGGAUAACACUGAGAAAUUGGUACUAAUACCCCAUAACAUCUCGAGUGGCAUCACUUGGGGUUGAAAGCUUCGGUGGUUAUGGAUGGGCAUGCGUUGUAUUAGCUAGUUGGAGAGGUAACGGCUCACCAAGGCGACGAUACAUAGGGGGACUGAGAGGUUAACCCCCCACAUUGGUACUGAGACACGGACCAAACUCCUACGGGAGGCAGCAGUGAGGAAUAUUGGUCAAUGGACGGAAGUCUGAACCAGCCAUGCCGCGUGCAGGAUGACGGCUCUAUGAGUUGUAAACUGCUUUUGUACGAGGGUAAACCCGAAUACGUGUAUUCGGCUGAAAGUAUCGUACGAAUAAGCAUCGGCUAACUCCGUGCCAGCAGCCGCGGUAAUACGGGGGAUGCGAGCGUUAUCCGGAUUCAUUGGGUUUAAAGGGUGCGUAGGCUGUGCGUCAAGUCGGGGGUGAAAUUCCGGUGCUCAACACCGGGGCUGCCCUUGAUACUGUCGCGCUGGAGUGCGGAUGCCGCCGGAGGAAUGAGUGGUGUAGCGGUGAAAUGCUUAGAUAUCACUCAGAACACCGAUUGC
This 593-nucleotide ribosomal RNA is filed under the name uncultured bacterium. RNAcentral's name for it is "bacterial SSU rRNA". It matches the Rfam family "Bacterial small subunit ribosomal RNA", at positions 124 to 716 of the family's 1533-position model. The record is from RNAcentral.